This 446-nucleotide ribosomal RNA is filed under the name uncultured bacterium. Its description in RNAcentral is "partial 16S ribosomal RNA". It matches the Rfam family "Bacterial small subunit ribosomal RNA", at positions 338 to 795 of the family's 1533-position model. The record is from RNAcentral.
CCUACGGGUGGCAGCAGUCGAGAAUCAUUCACAAUGGGGGAAACCCUGAUGGUGCGACGCCGCGUGGGGGAAUGAAGGUCUUCGGAUUGUAAACCCCUGUCAUGUGGGAGCAAAUUAAAAAGAUAGUACCACAAGAGGAAGAGACGGCUAACUCUGUGCCAGCAGCCGCGGUAAUACAGAGGUCUCAAGCGUUGUUCGGAAUCACGGGGCGUAAAGGGUGCGUAGGCUGUUUCGUAAGUCGUGUGUGAAAGGCGCGGGCUCAACCCGCGGACGGCACAUGAUACUGCGAGACUAGAGUAAUGGAGAGGGAAGCGGAAUUCUCGGUGUAGCAGUGAAAUGCGUAGAUAUCGAGAGGAACACUCGUGGCGAAGGCGGGUUCCUGGACAUUAACUGACGCUGAGGCACGAAGGCCAGGGGAGCGAAAGGGAUUAGAUACCCUAGUAGUC